GGGAUUAGUGGCGAACGGGUGAGUAACACGUGGGCAAUCUGCCCUUCACUCUGGGACAAGCCCUGGAAACGGGGUCUAAUACCGGAUACGACACGGGGUCGCAUGACCUCCGUGUGGAAAGCUCCGGCGGUGAAGGAUGAGCCCGCGGCCUAUCAGCUUGUUGGUGGGGUGAUGGCCUACCAAGGCGACGACGGGUAGCCGGCCUGAGAGGGCGACCGGCCACACUGGGACUGAGACACGGCCCAGACUCCUACGGGAGGCAGCAGUGGGGAAUAUUGCACAAUGGGCGAAAGCCUGAUGCAGCGACGCCGCGUGAGGGAUGACGGCCUUCGGGUUGUAAACCUCUUUCAGCAGGGAAGAAGCGAGAGUGACGGUACCUGCAGAAGAAGCGCCGGCUAACUACGUGCCAGCAGCCGCGGUAAUACGUAGGGCGCAAGCGUUGUCCGGAAUUAUUGGGCGUAAAGAGCUCGUAGGCGGCUUGUCGCGUCGGAUGUGAAAGCCCGGGGCUUAACCCCGGGUCUGCAUUCGAUACGGGCAGGCUAGAGUUCGGUAGGGGAGAUCGGAAUUCCUGGUGUAGCGGUGAAAUGCGCAGAUAUCAGGAGGAACACCGGUGGCGAAGGCGGAUCUCUGGGCCGAUACUGACGCUGAGGA
Molecule: ribosomal RNA, 651 nt
Filed under: Streptomyces sp.
Lineage: Bacteria; Bacillati; Actinomycetota; Actinomycetes; Kitasatosporales; Streptomycetaceae
Description: bacterial SSU rRNA
Rfam family: Bacterial small subunit ribosomal RNA
Source: RNAcentral